GAUGAACGCUGGCGGCGUGCCUAAUACAUGCAAGUCGAGCGAACAGACGAGGAGCUUGCUCCUCUGACGUUAGCGGCGGACGGGUGAGUAUCACGUGGAUAACCUACCUAUAAGACUGGGAUAACUUCGGGAGACCGGAGCUAAUACCGGAUAAUAUAUUGAACCGCAUGGUUCAAUAGUGAAAGACGGUUUUGCUGUCACUUAUAGAUGGAUCCGCGCCGCAUUAGCUAGUUGGUAAGGUAACGGCUUACCAAGGCAACGAUGCGUAGCCGACCUGAGAGGGUGAUCGGCCACACUGGAACUGAGACACGGUCCAGACUCCUACGGGAGGCAGCAGUAGGGAAUCUUCCGCAAUGGGCGAAAGCCUGACGGAGCAACGCCGCGUGAGUGAUGAAGGUCUUCGGAUCGUAAAACUCUGUUAUUAGGGAAGAACAAAUGUGUAAGUAACUAUGCACGUCUUGACGGUACCUAAUCAGAAAGCCACGGCUAACUACGUG
This 497-nucleotide ribosomal RNA is filed under the name uncultured bacterium. RNAcentral's name for it is "partial 16S ribosomal RNA". It matches the Rfam family "Bacterial small subunit ribosomal RNA", at positions 28 to 507 of the family's 1533-position model. The record is from RNAcentral.